UAGUCCACACUGUAAACGAUGGGCACUAGGUGUUGGCCUUGUUAUGAGGUCAGUGCCGUAGCUAACGUGUUAAGUGCCCCGCCUGGGGAGUACGGUCGCAAGAUUGAAACUCAAAGGAAUUGACGGGGGCCCGCACAAGCGGUGGAGCAUGUGGUUUAAUUCGAUGCAACGCGCAGAACCUUACCUGGGCUUGACAUAUAGUGAGUUCAUGUAGAGAUACAUGUAGUUUGGCUUUUGUCAGACGCGCUAUACAGGUGCUGCAUGGCUGUCGUCAGCUCGUGUCGUGAGAUGUUGGGUUAAGUCCCGCAACGAGCGCAACCCUUAUUCAUAGUUGCCAUCAGGUUAAGCUGGGCACUCUAUGGAGACUGCCCCGGGAUAACGGGGGAGGAAGGGUGGGGGAUGACGUCAAGUCCU
Molecule: ribosomal RNA, 414 nt
Filed under: uncultured bacterium
Lineage: Bacteria
Description: bacterial SSU rRNA
Rfam family: Bacterial small subunit ribosomal RNA
Source: RNAcentral